GGCUAUAUUAGUCAGCCUGCCCAUGAAAUUUUUAAUGGCCGCAGUAAUUUGACUGUGCAAAGGUAGCAUAAUCAUUAGUUUUUUAAUUAAAAGCUUGUAUGAAAGGUUGGACGAAGUAAAAUCUGUCUCUAUUUAAUUUAAAUUAGAAUUUAAUUUUUAAGUUAAAAAGCUUAAAUUUUAAUAAAAGACGAGAAGACCCUGUAGAACUUUAUAAUUUAUUUAUUAUAAUUAAUUAAGAUUUUUUUAAGUUUUAUUAAUAAAAUUAUUUUAUUGGGGUAAUAAGAAGAUUAAAAUAAUUCUUUUUUAUUAUUAACAUUUAUUUAUGGUAUUAAUGAUCCAUUUUUAGUGAUUAUAAGAUUAAGUUACCUUAGGGAUAACAGCGUAAUUUUUUUAGAGAGUUCAUAUCGAUAAAAAAGUUUGCGACCUCGAUGUUGGAUUAAAGAUUAGUUUAGGUGUAGAAGUUUAAAUUUUUGGUCUGUUCGACCAUUAAAUCUUUACGUGAUCUGAGUUCAGACCGGA
This 519-nucleotide ribosomal RNA is filed under the name Pterostichus fasciatopunctatus. Its description in RNAcentral is "partial 16S ribosomal RNA". It matches the Rfam family "Bacterial large subunit ribosomal RNA", at positions 1889 to 2620 of the family's 2925-position model. Lineage: Eukaryota; Metazoa; Arthropoda; Insecta; Coleoptera; Carabidae. The record is from RNAcentral.